Molecule: non-coding RNA, 246 nt
Organism: Leptonychotes weddellii (Weddell seal)
Lineage: Eukaryota; Metazoa; Chordata; Mammalia; Carnivora; Phocidae
Source: RefSeq, a predicted model, not a curated record
GCAAACAGCUCCAGGAGAAGCCAUGUCCCUUCGUGGCUUUUAUUGAGCCAAGACCGUCAUCAAGGAGGGGAUGCUGACCAAACAGAACAAUUCAUUCCAGCGAUCAAAAAGGAGAUACUUUAAGCUGCGGGGGCGAACGCUGUACUACGCAAAAACGGCAAAGUCAAUCAUAUUUGAUGAGGUGGACCUGACAGACGCCAGCGUGGCUGAAUCCAGCACCAAGAACGUCAACAACAGUUUCACGGU